GAUGAACGCUAGCGGCAGGCUUAACACAUGCAAGUCGGCGAGAAAGUUAUCUUCGGAUAUGGGUAGAGCGGCGGACGGGUGAGUAACGCGUAGGAAUCUACCUAGUAGAAGGGGAUAGCCCGAGGAAACUCGGAUUAAUACCGUAUACCUCCUUCGGGAGAAAGAAGGCCUCUCAUUGAAGCUUUCGCUACUAGAUGAGCCUGCGUAAGAUUAGCUUGUUGGUGAGGUAAAAGGCUCACCAAGGCAACGAUCUUUAGCGGGUCUGAGAGGACGAUCCGCCACAUUGGGACUGAGACACGGCCCAG
This 305-nucleotide ribosomal RNA is filed under the name uncultured bacterium. Its description in RNAcentral is "bacterial SSU rRNA". It matches the Rfam family "Bacterial small subunit ribosomal RNA", at positions 28 to 334 of the family's 1533-position model. The record is from RNAcentral.